This 440-nucleotide ribosomal RNA is filed under the name uncultured bacterium. Its description in RNAcentral is "partial 16S ribosomal RNA". It matches the Rfam family "Bacterial small subunit ribosomal RNA", at positions 338 to 795 of the family's 1533-position model. The record is from RNAcentral.
CCUACGGGAGGCAGCAGUAGGGAAUAUUGCUCAAUGGGGGAAACCCUGAAGCAGCAACGCCGCGUGGAGGAUGAAGGUUUUCGGAUUGUAAACUCCUUUUGUUAGAGAAGAUAAUGACGGUAUCUAACGAAUAAGCACCGGCUCACUACGUGACAGCAGCCGCGGUAAUACGGCGGGUGCAAGCGUUACUCGGAAUCACUGGGCGUAAAGAGGGCGUAGGCGGGAUAGCAAGUCAGAUGUGAAAUCCUAUGGCUUAACCAUAGAACUGCAUUUGAAACUGUUAUUCUAGAGUAUGGGAGAGGUAGGUGGAAUUCUUGGUGUAGGGGUGAAAUCCGUAGAUAUCAAGAGGAAUACUCAUUGCGAAGGCGACCGGCUAGAACAUAACUGACGCUGAGGCGCGAAAGCGUGGGGAGCAAACAGGAUUAGAUACCCGUGUAGUC